GGGCGCGUGGCGGAAUGGCAGACGCGCACGGCUCAGGACCGUGUGAGGAAACUCGUGGAGGUUCGACUCCUCUCGCGCCCA
RNAcentral lists this transfer RNA (81 nucleotides) under Elusimicrobia bacterium HGW-Elusimicrobia-1. RNAcentral's name for it is "tRNA-Leu". It matches the Rfam family "tRNA". Rfam says of the family: Transfer RNA (tRNA) molecules are approximately 80 nucleotides in length. Their secondary structure includes four short double-helical elements and three loops (D, anti-codon, and T loops). The record is from RNAcentral. Lineage: Bacteria; Pseudomonadati; Elusimicrobiota.